ACCCAGAUGACGAGUCCCAAAUAGGACGAAAUUUGCACCCUGGAU
Molecule: non-coding RNA, 45 nt
Filed under: Trichobilharzia regenti
Lineage: Eukaryota; Metazoa; Platyhelminthes; Trematoda; Strigeidida; Schistosomatidae
Source: RNAcentral